RNAcentral lists this ribosomal RNA (1244 nucleotides) under metagenome. Its description in RNAcentral is "bacterial LSU rRNA". It matches the Rfam family "Bacterial large subunit ribosomal RNA", at positions 1564 to 2818 of the family's 2925-position model. The record is from RNAcentral.
UGAAUACGAGACGCUAAGGCGUCGAAGUAGUGUAUGUCAUACUUCCAAGAAAAGCUUGCACUGUCAUAGAUAAAAAACGCCUGUACCAUAACCGACACAGGUGGGUAGGUAGAGUAUACUAAGGGGCGCGAGAUAACUCUCUCUAAGGAACUCGGCAAAAUAACUCCGUAACUUCGGGAGAAGGAGUGCCUUAUUCUUAAGGUUGCAAUAACAAGAUCCAAGCAACUGUUUAUCAAAAACACAGGUCUCCGCUAAGUCGUAAGACGAUGUAUGGGGGCUGACGCCUGCCCAGUGCCAGAAGGUUAAAGAAGCUGGUUAGCAAUUGCGAAGCUGGUGACUGAAGCCCUGGUGAACGGCGGCCGUAACGAUAACGGUCCUAAGGUAGCGAAAUUCCUUGUCGGGUAAGUUCCGACCCGCACGAAAGGCGUAAUGAUUUGGAUACUGUCUCGGAGAGGGGCUCGGUGAAAUAGACUUGUCUGUGAAGAUGCGGACUACCUGCACCAGGACAGAAAGACCCUAUGAAGCUUUACUGUAACUUGAAAUUGAAAUUGGACUUUAUUCGCGCAGCAUAGGUGGGAGGCGUUGAUUAUAAUCUUGCGGGAUUAUUGGAGCCAUUAGUGAGAUACCACUCUUGUAAUGUUAGAUUUCUAACUUUGAAUCAUUAUCUGGUCAAAGGACAGUUUCAGGCGGGCAGUUUGACUGGGGCGGUCGCCUCCCAAACGGUAACGGAGGCGUACAAAGGUUUCCUCUGAACGGUUAGAAAUCGUAUCUAGAGUGUAAAGGCAUAAGGAAGCUUGACUGUGAGACCUACAAGUCGAGCAGGGACGAAAGUCGGUCUUAGUGAUCUGACGGUACUGAGUGGAAAGGCCGUCACUCAACGGAUAAAAGUUACUCUAGGAUAACAGGCUGAUCUCCCCCAAGAGUUCACAUCGACGGGGAGGUUUGGCACCUCGAUGUCGGCUCAUCGCAUCCUGGGGCGGUAGUACGUCCCAAGGGUUGGGCUGUUCGCCCAUGAAAGCGGUACGCGAGCUGGGUUCAGAACGUCGUGAGACAGUUCGGUCCAUAUCCGGUGUAGGCGUUAGAAUAUUGAGAGGAGCCUUCUUUAGUACGAGAGGACCGAGAAGGACAUACCUCUGGUGUACCAGUUAUCGUGCCAACGGUAAACGCUGGGUAGCUAUGUAUGGAGUGGAUAACCGCUGAAAGCAUCUAAGUGGGAAGCCCACCUCAAGAUAAGUAUUCUCAUA